AUCGUUUCUCAGCCUUUUGGCUAAGAUCAA
This 30-nucleotide small nuclear RNA is filed under the name Cervus elaphus hippelaphus. The record is from RNAcentral. Lineage: Eukaryota; Metazoa; Chordata; Mammalia; Artiodactyla; Cervidae.